This 253-nucleotide ribosomal RNA is filed under the name uncultured bacterium. RNAcentral's name for it is "partial 16S ribosomal RNA". It matches the Rfam family "Bacterial small subunit ribosomal RNA", at positions 524 to 776 of the family's 1533-position model. The record is from RNAcentral.
UACGUGAGUGGCAAGCGUUAUCCGGAAUUACUGGGCGUAAAGAGCGCGUAGGCGUUUUGAAAAGUCAGAGGUGAAAAGUCAGGGCUUAACCUUGGCCUUGCCUUUGAAACUAUCAGAAUAGAGUUUUGGAUAGGAGGGUGGAACUACAAGUGUAGCGGUGGAAUGCGUAGAUAUUUGUAGGAAUGCCGAUGACGAAGGUAACUCUCUGGACAAUAACUGACGCUGAGGUGCGAAAGCUAGGGGAGCAAACAGG